RNAcentral lists this non-coding RNA (22 nucleotides) under Arabidopsis thaliana (thale cress). Lineage: Eukaryota; Viridiplantae; Streptophyta; Magnoliopsida; Brassicales; Brassicaceae. The record is from RNAcentral.
CAAGGGACUCGACAACGUGGUA